Non-coding RNA from Cyanistes caeruleus (blue tit), 353 nucleotides. Lineage: Eukaryota; Metazoa; Chordata; Aves; Passeriformes; Paridae. The record is from RefSeq and is a predicted model, not a curated record.
ACCAUUCCUGUCACAAAACUCCUGCUUUGCAGCUUUGCUUGAUCCACUCUGCACCCAACAAAGUUUCUAGACAGAAAUACCACUGGCUCACAAAACCCUCAGUAUAACUCUACUCCAAAUGGCAAGCCCAACAGGUAAAAGAAAAUGUCUGCAGCCUUCCUUCAUAAAAGUGCUUUUUCCUUAUUUGUUCUUCCCCUGUUAAGAAUCCAGAAAAUAGAGCUGAAUCUGAGUUCCUUUUUUGGCUGAUGAUUAAACAUUCUCACCAUUAUAUAAUAUGAUUUCCAUUUUAUUUUAAACAUACUUUGCAUGAUAUAAAAAUAUUGAUCACAGUGAGCUUUAACAAUUGUUACUGC